GUAGGUGGCAAGCGUUGUCCGGGAAUUAUUGGGGGCGUAAAGCGCGCGCAGGCGGUUCUUUAAGUCUGAUGUGAAAGCCCACGGGCUCAACCGUGGAGGGUCAUUGGAAACUGGAGAACUUGAGUACAGAAGAGGAAAGCGGAAUUCCACGUGUAGCGGUGAAAUGCGUAGAGAUGUGGAGGAACACCAGUGGCGAAGGCGGCUUUCUGGUCUGUAACUGACGCUGAGGCGCGAAAGCGUGGGGAGCAGACAGGAUUAGAUACCCUGGUAGUCCACGCCGUAAACGAUGAGUGCUAAGUGUUAGGGGGUUUCCGCCCCUUAGUGCUGCAGCUAACGCAUUAAGCACUCCGCCUGGGGAGUACGGCCGCAAAGGCUG
RNAcentral lists this ribosomal RNA (376 nucleotides) under uncultured organism. RNAcentral's name for it is "partial 16S ribosomal RNA". It matches the Rfam family "Bacterial small subunit ribosomal RNA", at positions 527 to 896 of the family's 1533-position model. The record is from RNAcentral.